GAAAGCUAGGGGAGCAAAUGGGAUUAGAGACCCCAGUAGUCCUAGCCGUAAACGAUGGAUAUUAGGUGUUGUGCGACUCGACCCGUGCAGUGCUGUAGCUAACGCGUUAAGUAUCCCGCC
This 120-nucleotide ribosomal RNA is filed under the name Oryza punctata. Its description in RNAcentral is "rRNA SSU_rRNA_eukarya". It matches the Rfam family "Bacterial small subunit ribosomal RNA", at positions 755 to 873 of the family's 1533-position model. The record is from RNAcentral. Lineage: Eukaryota; Viridiplantae; Streptophyta; Magnoliopsida; Poales; Poaceae.